CAAGAGGGAACACUGGUCUGCACCAGUGCCUGGAGGACACAGCUGGCACAAAGCAGAACUCGGGAGGAGGGGAGACAAGAACAAUAAGAUAGCAGGAACGGCAAGAAAAAAUUAGUCAUGGGUUUCUAAUAAAAACCAUACAUCACUCCAAUUAAUUGUCAAGGUGCAAAAGGAAGAUUUCAACAUCAGACCAUCACUUAACAUCUCCUCAGUUGUAAUCAAUCAGCUCAGCACCACCAGGUUACCCAAGAUGAAUCCCAUUGAUGAGUAAUUUCUGAGUAAUAACUUGUGGAAGAUAAAAGUGUCGCCAAAAUCUUGCUGCUCCAAGCUGAUCUGCUGUCUCACUUCCAGAUCCUUGAAACCAAGGGGUGAAGAUUUCAUUUAAAGGUGCCCAGGUGAAUUUUACUUUUCCACCACUGUCCCUUCAAUGAGGACACUGCUGCAGACAGCAGGGAACCCAAACCUCUGUGAUGAAACCCAGCCCAGAGCCUUGGGCAAGGCAGGGCUGAGUGAGCAGCACGGGGAGGGCACAGGCUCAAACAAGCCUCCCUUGCUCAGGGACUCAGGCACUCAGCACAGCUUCUGCAGGGGGAGAAUUGCUAAAAUCUCAUCCAGCACAGACAUUGCUGCAGCCCAACAAGGCAGAGUUGAAGUGUGGAGAAAAUCAGUGUUUCAUCAUGACAGGCCUGGCUCCCCUCAGCUUCAAUGAGCCACCCUCAGAAGUCAGCCCAGAGAGCCCACAGGAUCCAGCUUUGGAGGGGAGUCUGAUAUAAAUUCAAUCCUUUGCAAUCCAGUCUUAGCUCCUCAUUCUAACCUCCAAAGGCCAGACCAACCCAAUCAACCCCUACAACCUCGUUCUGCUUUUUUUGUUCCAUCAUUCCCCACUCUCAGCAAAGGGUGGCACCUUCCCUGCUGCUGCCUUUCCCAAAGUUCUGCAAUCUCCCUGUGGCUUUUCACCCCCAUCAUGAGGGAGUCACAUCAGGAUCCAGCUUGGUCCCCAGUUGCUCCACACUGACUGCAUGGAAUUGUUAAAGCCUGACACAGACAUGUGCUGCUCUAAGGGACUCUGCUGCUCUAAAAGGGUAACACAAGAAAUGCCUCUGCAGUCAGAAUUAUUUGGAGAGUAACACACCCCACCUCUAUGCCUAACAAAGAACUGAAGGAACAGUCCAGUAGAAAUCUCUUUAUAUUUCCUAGAAAUCUCUUUAUAUUUCCUAAUUUCUUAUCCCAUAAGGACUUCUUUGGGAUCACCUUUAUCUUUAUUGUAUUAAAAAAAAAAAAAAAAGAAUUGUUUUUCAAGCCAACCAGUGUUGGCUUUUUUUUUAGUAGGAUUCCUGGUACUGUAACACUGACUCAAAGACUAGACUUUUUUUUUUUCAAAUGAUGACUUAUCAGGUAGUCUAAUCUGUAUUCCUGCCAAAGCAAGACUAUUCCUGACAAUAUUAGCACAUUGCCUAUUCUUGUUUUAGCUCUGCCAGGGCCCAGAGCCUCAGCUCUGCCCCCCUGCACAUCUGUUAAUAGCUCUGGGAGGGGUCUGCCAAGAACCACACCAGGCACCAUUCCUGGUGGGCAAACUGCUCAUUCCCUGCCCAGCAGCCCAGACUUGGCAAUAGAACUGAUGACUCACAGCUUGGAGAAAAAAAUUAAAAGCCUUUUUAAAAAAAGGGUGAUUAUCUAAGAAAUCUUCCCAGCCCCGUGCCUCCACUUGUGCUGUGACUGAGUGAGCAGGAGCUGUGCCUGUGGUACCUGGCUCCACAAGAGCAGCAUUCCAGCUCCCAGCUUAUCACCAGCAUUCCCAACACUGCUCUGGCUCUGCUUUCAGGACAUUUCACUGUGCCACUCUUGGUGUGGAGCACAAAUUAAAGUUCUGUUCAAGCCAAGCCUGUCUGCUGACAUAAUUCCAGCAUUUGGUACAAGUGAAUUUUGGCCAUAAUGUAUCCACCUGAAUUUCAUUUCUUUGAGGGGUAACAGUGCUGCUAUUCCCAUUUAAAAAGUGAGAAAUUCCAUCACCAGAGGCUGACAGACCCACAGAGGCAGCAGCUCCUGGGAAUUUAACACUUUGUUAUAGCUCUGAAGUGGAUCUCAAGGGACCUACCUAAGGCCACAUGGGAAACUCCAGGGGAAAAAGAACAACCCAAACAAAAGAGAAUAAAGUCAAGCCUGUUUCUAUUAACUAACUGAUUUCUAAAACCACAAAUAUGGUGAGUAAGCAGAUCACAUUCCACAUUGCAAAACACAGAACCACGCAACCAGUCUGCAGCAAGGACACAAAACAGAUAUGUAAAAUUCUUCCUGAAGAAUUGGAUUUCCUGAAGAAUUCCUGAAUAAUUCUUCCUGAAGGAUAUGGGUGACUAGAGAAUGUCUCAAACAGCUGAAGUUAAGAAAAAAUUUUCAAAAAAAAUCAUUAAAUAAUUGGUUCUCAAUAUUAAAAAGAGAGGUGUGUCAUGGGAAAUAUUUUAGAAAUGCCAUGGUUUAUGCUUUGGGGCAGCUGGAGGUUAGCACUGAUAUGGUGAUAAAGAAAUAUUGGGCUGAAAACCCAAAUAAAAGCUGGUCUGGGGACUGUGGGGCACGUGCCCCACAUCUCCUGCUAUGUAACACUUCACUGCAAUAAUUAUGCCAGUUAUUAUAUUUAUAACAACAUUUCCCUGGGAGACUGGAAUUGCAACAUUCCAACUAAAGGCUAAACAAUUAAUUAAUUUUUUGGGGGCUGGACAAAACAAGCCAGCACAAUCUGGAUGAAGAUGGCUGAGGGCACACACCAGCAGGGCACUGACCAAACCUAAAAUCAAGAUCCAGGUGGAUUCUGAUGGAACAAACGCAAUCCUCUAGAAAUAAAACACGAGAAAAAGGGGCAGAGAUUUUCCUCAACUUUCUUUAAACAGUUUUCACUCAGUUAAGAAGUUUUGUGUUUCACAGAAUGGCAUUUUUUUCCAUUCCAGACACAGAAAUGUGCAUUGAAAAUGUGCUCUGUAACAGGGGGGCUUUGGCUGAAUUUUAUCACUGCUGUGAAGAAGGGUUCAUGAAAUGAGACAGGUUUAUAGGACAGACACUCCAUCCUGACUGAACACUUCCAGUGGGUUACCACAGCAUUUCACAACCCCUUAGUUUACAACAGUGGCACAGCAAAGUGUUGAAAUAGCAGAGGAUUUUUAUAAACAAUAUUGGAGGUCAAUUUUACAAAAAAAAAAAACCAAAACACCAAACCCAAGAAUGGUUUCAGGUGUUGAUACCAUCUUUAUUAUUUUCUGAUAUGGCUGAAGAUCAGCCACUGAAUGUAAAAAUCUUCUGGAAAUGCUGCAUUUAUGCAGCUAAAUAAGCAACCCUUUCAGUGACUGAGCUUGCCUUGAAGCCACAGGAUUUCUAAUGAGUGAGGAUUUCACACCCCCAAGAGUGACUGCUCAGCACUUGUGUGAACAUUUUGACUCAGGAAUUCUAAAUCAAAUCUGCUUUACUGUAAUCAAUAUCAAGAAAAAUGGAAGUUUAAAUUUCCAUUGACCCCAUCAUUUUUAUACCCAUUCUUUAAUCAUCAAUGUGAAAAUAAGUUGUAUUUAAACUCCCUGGUGUUUCUGUGCUCAUUAAACAAUUUGGUAUUUUAUCUGCCCCAGCUUCUGGGCAAGUAUCUCUUUUCUCCACCAGAAAACAGAAAGCCAAUUGUAUUUCCAUUAAUUAUAAUCAGAACCCUUAUCCUGUUAGACCAGGAUAACAACCCAUCCCAGGAAACCCUAUCCUGAGAGAUGACCUGAAAGGCUUGAGGAGAGCAGGACAAUCCCAAGGAGUUUUCUGCUGAGCAACUUGUGCAGGAUCAGCUCUGCAGCAUUGAUGGAUUUCCAUUUUUAACAUAACUCACUUCCAGACAGAUUUUAAAAAUUCUAAAUUUUAUAAAAAUCUUCCAGACUUUUAUAAACAACCUGUCUGGUUAGUGUCUCUGAAAGUUUAACACAAGGAAAGAUUUGUAAUACUCAGUUUAAAAAUCUUGUUAGCAAUCAACAGUUUAAAUUGUGAGCA
Long non-coding RNA from Melospiza melodia melodia, 4005 nucleotides. RefSeq lists it as uncharacterized. Lineage: Eukaryota; Metazoa; Chordata; Aves; Passeriformes; Passerellidae. The transcript is spliced from 3 exons. The record is from RefSeq and is a predicted model, not a curated record.